GUCAUUCUUUGGUAUCUUAUUUCAUGUUUUAAUGAUACAGGUAAUAUUUUGUGUUGUCUUAUUUGUGAAUGCUGGUCAUUCUGUAUCGUCUUGGGAAAGUUGGUAUUGCACCUUUAGUACCUCUAUUUGUGAAUGCUGGUCAUUUUGUACCGUCUUGGGAAAGUUGGUAUUGCACCUUUAGUACCUACUGUGAAUGCUGGUCAUUCAGUCUUUUUUUUUUGUGAAUGUUACCAGUUCAUUAUUUAUUGAUGUAAUAAUCUUCUUUUCAUACAUCAUGUACAUGUAUUUGUGACCAGAUCUGGCAGAUCUUCAUGUUUUUUUUCAAAAAGAUUUUACUAAAACAGGACAAAC
Molecule: long non-coding RNA, 351 nt
Filed under: Mytilus galloprovincialis (Mediterranean mussel)
Lineage: Eukaryota; Metazoa; Mollusca; Bivalvia; Mytilida; Mytilidae
Source: RNAcentral